UACGGAGGAUGCAAGCGUUAUCCGGAUUUAUUGGGUUUAAAGGGUGCGCAGGUUGUUUGAUAAGUCAGUGGUGAAAGUCUGUCGCUUAACUGUAAAAUUGCCGUUGAUACUGGUAUUCUUGAGUGUAUAUGAAGUAGGCGGAAUUUGUAGUGUAGCGGUGAAAUGCAUAGAUAUCACGAGGAACUCCGAUUGCGCAGGCAGCUUACUAAACCAUAACUGACGCUCAGGCACGAAGGCGUGGGGAUCAAACAGGAUUAGAUA
This 261-nucleotide ribosomal RNA is filed under the name uncultured prokaryote. RNAcentral's name for it is "partial 16S ribosomal RNA". It matches the Rfam family "Bacterial small subunit ribosomal RNA", at positions 524 to 784 of the family's 1533-position model. The record is from RNAcentral.